GCAUGCGGCAUGCUAUACAUGCAGUCGAGCGGACUUAAAAAGCUUGCUUUUUAAGUUAGCGGCGGACGGGUGAGUAACACGUGGGCAACCUGCCUGUAAGACUGGGAUAACUUCGGGAAACCGGAGCUAAUACCGGAUAAUCCUUUUCUACUCAUGUAAAAAAGCUGAAAGACGGUUUACGCUGUCACUUACAGAUGGGCCCGCGGCGCAUUAGCUAGUUGGUGAGGUAACGGCUCACCAAGGCGACGAUGCGUAGCCGACCUGAGAGGGUGAUCGGCCACACUGGGACUGAGACACGGCCCAGACUCCUACGGGAGGCAGCAGUAGGGAAUCUUCCGCAAUGGACGAAAGUCUGACGGAGCAACGCCGCGUGAGUGAUGAAGGUUUUCGGAUCGUAAAACUCUGUUGUUAGGGAAGAACAAGUACGAGAGUAACUGCUCGUACCUUGACGGUACCUAACCAGAAAGCCACGGCUAACUACGUGCCAGCAGCCGCGGUAAUACGUAGGUGGCAAGCGUUGUCCGGAAUUAUUGGGCGUAAAGCGCGCGCAGGCGGUCCUUUAAGUCUGAUGUGAAAGCCCACGGCUCAACCGUGGAGGGUCAUUGGAAACUGGGGGACUUGAGUGCAGAAGAGAAGAGUGGAAUUCCACGUGUAGCGGUGAAAUGCGUAGAGAUGUGGAGGAACACCAGUGGCGAAGGCGACUCUUUGGUCUGUAACUGACGCUGAGGCGCGAAAGCGUGGGGAGCAAACAGGAUUAGAUACCCUGGUAGUCCACGCCGUAAACGAUGAGUGCUAAGUGUUAGAGGGUUUCCGCCCUUUAGUGCUGCAGCAAACGCAUUAAGCACUCCGCCUGGGGGAGUACGGCCGCAAGGCUGAAACUCAAGGAAUUGACGGGGGCCCGCACAAGCGGUGGAGCAUGUGGUUUAAUUCAAGCAACGCGAGAACCUUACCAGUCUUGACAUCUCCUGACAUCCUAAGAUAGACGUUCCCUUCCCGGGACAGAUGACAGUGUGCGUGGUGUCGUCAGCUCGUGUCGUGAGAUGUAGGAUGAGUGCUUCACACGCAACCAUGAUCUUAUUGCUAGCAUUACAUCGGUCACUCUAGUGACUGCGGGUGACAGACCGGU
Molecule: ribosomal RNA, 1126 nt
Filed under: Niallia nealsonii
Lineage: Bacteria; Bacillati; Bacillota; Bacilli; Caryophanales; Bacillaceae
Description: bacterial SSU rRNA
Rfam family: Bacterial small subunit ribosomal RNA
Source: RNAcentral